ACGUUAUUAUGCUGUGCCCGCGCUGGCCCUUGUCGUCUGUUCCUGACACCGCGGCCACCAGUUAAAGCUGCAGCCUGCGGCUCAGUCAUUGGCUGGGCGCGCAGGCUGCAGGGAGGAGGAAGGAAGACGGAUCCCUGGCAGCAUGUGGAGCCAGCAGAGGAUGCGUGGUGCAAGGUGCUGUGGGAUUCCUGAGACUCUACUACCAGGCCGGAAGGAUCAUGGUCAAGAAACUAUACAGGCUAAGCAGAUGACCCCAAGACGUGGAGCUUUAGUGCUGUGUGCCAGCCUUUUAUGACUGCGCAGUGCACGCCUUUCGGGGCUCCAGAGGACUGUGGGAUUGUUCCCCUGAGGUGCUUGAAUUUGGGUCAGGUAAGCGGCCAAUCAGUUGCAUGCCCAACUGCCUAAUGGUGGAAUUCAAGUCUUGGCAUAUAGCAUUUGGGAUUCCAUGAACCUAAUGAUAGCUUGUUGGUUGAUGGUGAUUGACUCCAAAAGAUGAAUACAAGCCUGGUGAAAUAUCUGAUUAGCCUCAUGAGCCUUACGAAGGAGUUAUGGAAAC
This is a long non-coding RNA of Pseudophryne corroboree (corroboree frog), 556 nucleotides long. RefSeq lists it as uncharacterized. The record is from RefSeq and is a predicted model, not a curated record. NCBI's taxonomy places the organism in Eukaryota, Metazoa, Chordata, Amphibia, Anura, Myobatrachidae. The transcript is spliced from 3 exons.